This 460-nucleotide ribosomal RNA is filed under the name uncultured bacterium. RNAcentral's name for it is "partial 16S ribosomal RNA". It matches the Rfam family "Bacterial small subunit ribosomal RNA", at positions 338 to 795 of the family's 1533-position model. The record is from RNAcentral.
CCUACGGGUGGCAGCAGUGAGGAAUAUUGGUCAAUGGACGAGAGUCUGAACCAGCCAAGUAGCGUGAAGGAUGACUGCCCUAUGGGUUGUAAACUUCUUUUAUCUGGGAAUAAAAUAUUCCACGUGUGGGAUUUUGUAUGUACCAUAUGAAUAAGGAUCGGCUAACUCCGUGCCAGCAGCCGCGGUAAUACGGGGGAUCGGAGCGUUUACCGGGUUUUUUGGGGUUAAAGGGGGCGUAGGUGGAUUGUUAAGUCAGUUGUGAAAGUUUGGGGCUCAACCGUAAAAUUGCAGUUGAAACUGGCAGUCUUGAGUACAGGAGAGGUGGGCGGAAUGCGUGGUGUAGCGGUGAAAUGCUUAGAUAUCACGAAGAACUCCGAUUGCGAAGGCAGCUCACUGGACUGCAACUGACACUGAGGCUCGAAAGUGUGGGUAUCAAACAGGAUUAGAUACCCUUGUAGUC